UACGUAGGGUGCGAGCGUUGUCCGGAAUUAUUGGGCGUAAAGAGCUUGUAGGCGGUUUGUCGCGUCUGCCGUGAAAAUUCGAUGCUCAACCUCGAACUUGCGGUGGGUACGGGCAGACUAGAGUGUGGUAGGGGAGACUGGAAUUCCUGGUGUAGCGGUGAAAUGCGCAGAUAUCAGGAGGAACACCGAUGGCGAAGGCAGGUCUCUGGGCCACUACUGACGCUGAGAAGCGAAAGCAUGGGGAGCGAACAGG
This 253-nucleotide ribosomal RNA is filed under the name uncultured bacterium. RNAcentral describes it as "partial 16S ribosomal RNA". It matches the Rfam family "Bacterial small subunit ribosomal RNA", at positions 524 to 776 of the family's 1533-position model. The record is from RNAcentral.